Non-coding RNA from Cyanistes caeruleus (blue tit), 4486 nucleotides. NCBI's taxonomy places the organism in Eukaryota, Metazoa, Chordata, Aves, Passeriformes, Paridae. The record is from RefSeq and is a predicted model, not a curated record.
CAGGGACGUGGGGUACCACGGGUCUGAGAUCCGGACGCCCACGCUCGACAAGCUGGCUGCUGAAGGGGUCAAGCUGGAGAACUACUACGUCCAGCCCAUGUGUACACCAUCCAGAAGCCAGCUGAUCACUGGAAAGUACCAGAUCCACACGGGACUGCAGCACUCCAUCAUCCGACCGACGCAGCCCAACUGCUUACCUCUGGAUAACGUCACGCUACCUCAGAAGCUGAAGGAGGCUGGGUACUCUACACACAUGGUGGGCAAGUGGCACCUGGGGUUCUACCGCAGGGAGUGCAUGCCCACACAGAGGGGCUUCGACUCCUUCUUCGGCUCGCUCCUGGGCAGCGGCGACUACUACACCCACUUCAAGUGCGACAGCCCCGGGAUAUGCGGCUACGACCUGUACGAGAACGACAACGCCGCCUGGGACCACGACAACGGCAUCUAUUCCACGCAGAUGUACACGCAGAAAGUGCAGCAGAUCCUGGCUUCUCAUAACCCCAGGAAGCCCAUAUUCCUGUAUAUUGCCUACCAGGCUGUCCAUUCGCCUCUUCAGGCGCCAGGCAGGUAUUUUGAACAUUACCGCUCGAUAAACAACAUCAACAGGCGGCGGUACGCGGCCAUGCUGGCCUGCCUGGACGAGGCCAUAAACAACGUGACCCUCGCCCUAAGGAAGUACGGCUACUACGAGAACAGCAUUAUCAUUUAUUCUUCUGAUAACGGUGGGCAGCCGAUGGCCGGAGGCAGUAACUGGCCUCUCCGAGGAAGCAAAGGCACCUAUUGGGAAGGAGGUAUCCGCGCCGUCGGGUUUGUGCACAGCCCCCUCCUGAAAAACAAAGGGUCUGUGUGCAAGGAGCUGGUGCACAUCACAGACUGGUUCCCCACGCUGAUCACGCUGGCCGAGGGGCAGAUCGAUGAAGACAUCCAGCUGGAUGGCUACGACGUGUGGGAGACCAUCAGCGAGGGCAGGCGUUCCCCGCGGGUGGACAUCCUGCACAACAUCGACCCGAUCUACACCAAAGCCAAGAACGGCUCCUGGGCCGCUGGCUACGGGAUCUGGAACACGGCCAUCCAGUCUGCCAUCAGAGUGAAUCACUGGAAGCUGCUGACGGGAAACCCGGGGUACAGCGACUGGGUGCCUCCGCAGGCCUUCAGCAACGCGGGUCCCAACCGCUGGCACAACGAACGCGUCUCCUGGUCAGCCGGGAAAACCGUGUGGCUCUUCAACAUCACGGCCGACCCUUACGAGCGUGUGGACCUGUCUGCCAGGCACCCAGAGGUGGUGAAGCAGCUGCUGCGGAGGCUCUCGCAGUUCAACAAGACCGCGGUGCCCGUCCGCUACCCGCCCAAGGACCCUCGCAGCAACCCCAAGCUCAACGGAGGAGUCUGGGGGCCGUGGUUUAAGGAGGACGAUAAGAAAAAGAAGUCGGAUAAAAGCAAAGGUGCAAAGAAGCAGAAGAAGAGCAAGAACAAGAAGAAAGCCAGUCGGAAAAAGGGGCAGUCAUUUCACUGCCGGUCACGUCUUGCUGGUGGGUAAACUCUAAGCAGGCUCCUUGGCCAGGCCUCAGUCAGCCUGGCCCCACUUUUUGAACUUCAGAUGGAAUGGACUAGAAAUGCCAGUUCUGCACUGUGGAUGAAAGUUGUCAUCUUGUAAUUUUGUCUCUGAUUUCACCAGCACAAGAUACUUUAACACUCUGACCCUGUGACAGACUUUCUCCUCCACGGGAUGAGUGGUCCUCACCCAUCACCAGACACAUUCCGGGUAACAGCAGCGAUAGCAUCUUGUUCUAGGAGACUUAGCUUCGAUGGACAAAUGAUGGUUCCUUGCCUUAAUUAUUAGCUGGAAUCUUUGGAGAGCAUGGAGAUGUCAGUGGUAGAUGUUCUCAAACAGGCAGGUGGUUCAGAAGGAGAAAGGAGAAACAAAACCAGAGAACCUCUGUGGGUCAGUGCUAGUCAUCAACCUAUGACCUGUUUUGAUACAACACAGCAAAAACUGAAGCCAUCAGGCUGACUUUGUUGAGGUGCUGGGGAGGGGGGCAUGAUAGGAGGAAAGCUGCUUUAAAUUAGAUUUUGUCCAUAUUAAAUAAUUCUGAAAUAUUUUUAAUAUUUCCUAGAUGUGCUGAGCUCCCCCCAUUUGCAGUAAAACACGACCAACGAGCACACGCCACGUGUAAUUUAUUGCAGGCAUAGACCAAAACGCAUCGCCAAAGUGAAUGUAGUAUUUAAACACUUUAAGAUAACUCUACAACUAUAUGUAAAAGAUAUAACUUAUUUUACAGCACAAUCCUUAUUUCUCUUCCAUUAGAACUUCCUGGCUGAUGCAAGGUACUCACGUGGGUGCCAGGGUUGUCGGGUUCUUUUAACGUUGACUUUUUAAAUUUUAUUUCCACCCUGUCAUUCAGAGUUUAUUUAACAGAUUCAUCUCCUCAGAGUACUGUAAACCAAGGAAAUACUGUAUACACUGCUAGGAUGAGGAAGGAGAGCAAUUCAGGCAGAAUGGGAGUCCUUGAAAGUAACCGGUGCAAGGCAGAGCAGUGGAUCAGUUCUCUGUGUGUUAAAUAAAUGUGCCACAAGACAGUACCUUGGCACUCCCCAGGAGCAGGCUCUUCCUACUGGCUUGGAAAGCCAUUUUACCUACUGCAAACACAGACAGCCUAUGGAAUAAACAGAGCUUCCAACGAGAUCUGCAGGCCUUGGAGCAGGGGCAAGCCAGCUUGAGGGAUGACUGAACACAUAUGAGGGAGCAAAGACAAGGCAGGGGAUCAAGCCAGAAGGAAUUGGCUGCAAAGGAGGGAUUGGCAUUGACAUUAAUGGGAAGGAGAUAUUGCCAUGGUUUGCCAAAAAUGAGACAGAACAUUUUCUUUCCCCCUGAGGGAUAUGCGUUGGAAACAGGCAAAAGGAGUGAAAAUGGAAGGUGGCUCUUCUCCAGACAUCCAGAGAGAACAUUCUGCCUCAGCUGUGCCUCUCCUCUUUCCAUCCUUCCUAUGAAUUUUAUUUGCUUGCCCAUUGGAGAAAAGGAAUAGCAGAAGGCAGCUGUCCUUUGCUUUUUGAUGUACAACCUGCCCAUGGCAUUUUACAACUUCACGUCUUGCUAAACACAAAACUCCUGAAACCAAGUGCUUUUGGGGUGGUGUGAGAGAUGCUCCUGGUCCUGCUUCCCAAACUGCUCCAAAGCUGCCAUGGACAGCAUGGGGACCAAAGGCAGUGAUUUAACCUUUAAUUCAUGAAGAACAAAAGCAACCAAACCACCUCCCAAACGCUACCAGAUGCAAGUGCUGGUGGCUCACAUGGAUGCAGGCUAACCAAUAUAAAAUUCCAAAUGCUUUUAUUUAUCUGCUGCAAUGGACUUCAGUCACAUGUUUCCUUGUGCUAAGCAGCUCCUUGAUGUUUCUCUUGUCAUCUUGAUUCCUGCUGAGACUGGGAAGGUGAUGAGAUAAACAAUACAACCAGAAUCCUGAGAAUUCUCCACAACCUGAAGUAAAGAAGAAAUCUUACAUCAUGGACAGACUCACUUUUCUGCCAAUGAUGGCAACCCAAGACCUGCUUCAUGUUGAAUUAGCCACAAAUGGAAAAAGUGGAGAGACCACCUGGAUUGUGAAUAGCACCAUCACUGUGGAUGGGCAGUGUGGGGCUCUUUGUGUAUCCUGAAGGGAGGACCUACAGCCGUAGGACAAGUACAGAGGGCUGAAAAACAACAGUGUCAACAAGGAAGCAAUGCAGGAACAGAAACCUGAAUCAAUACUCAGUCAGACCCUUUAAUUAUGCAGCUCAUUUUGUACCAGUAUAAGUCAGUCCUUAAUUCUGAAGCAACUUGUGCCUAGGGGAAAGGAGUGCAAGAGACUCUGGUAUCCCCAUAGGCAGCAGCUGAUGGGAAGCACAAUGCACUGCAGAGAGGUAAAGCCUUAACCAGUCGAAUCCAGGAGCACUGGAGGUACCCAAGGAGAAGAAGAUAUGGACCUCAGGAGCAGAAAUUGUGUUAGAAACAGAAGGAGAGAAGAUUGCAGUGCAUUAGGAGGGAAGCUUUUAUCCAAGGUGGCCCUUUGGAGUGACUGCUCCUAGUCACUCUGAAGGCUGGACAUCACUGAUGCAAUUUAGAGCCCUGAGAGCUGCUCCUCCUGGUGAAACCCAAACACAGCAGCAUGCAGAGCCUGCAAGAAAGAUCCCUACAGAGUGUUUCUUGCACCCUUUGCAUUGCCUGCAGUAAUGGUACCUCUGCUACAACUCCCUGUGUAUCCUGCUGAUCCUUGUUUUCCCCAAGAUAAUACAACAACCCAAGCCUUCUUGUUGGUGAGUGCAUGUAACUGAUGUGAUUCUGCUGUCUACUAAUGUCUGUUACCAUUUCCUGCUGGAUUGAUACAUAUUUCAUUUUGUGUGUCAGCCACACUUGAAUUGAUCCCUGGCAAAUGGUUUUCUAAUGGAGAAACCGAGAAGCAACUUCUCUACAGGAACAUUAUCCAGGAAAUACCAUAUUUUUCUUUCCUCUGGA